RNAcentral lists this long non-coding RNA (306 nucleotides) under Linum usitatissimum (flax). Its description in RNAcentral is "long non-coding RNA (LUSI_LNC002163)". Lineage: Eukaryota; Viridiplantae; Streptophyta; Magnoliopsida; Malpighiales; Linaceae. The record is from RNAcentral.
AUUCACCUAUCGAAAUUCAAUAGCAGUAGGCUAACUGUAAGCUAUUCACAGAACCCAGUCCAUGAACCAGGAUGUACCAGUCACUUUUUUACUAGAACACAAGUUCAAUGGACAAGAGUUUGACAGUUAGCUACGAAACAGAACGAUUACGUUAAAUGUUUAUCCAAGGACUAAAAAGACCAUAACUUGGGGUCCAUCAACGAGACAUGGAUCUUCCCUUUCAACCUUUACUGGUGUGUCAACUGAAUUUGCUACGUUAAACAAUCCCGUCAGUCAAAUGUAAUUGCACCAACAGCUAGUGAAAGC